Molecule: long non-coding RNA, 4441 nt
Organism: Mustela erminea (ermine)
Lineage: Eukaryota; Metazoa; Chordata; Mammalia; Carnivora; Mustelidae
Exons: 4
Source: RefSeq, a predicted model, not a curated record
UCUGUGGAGGAAAAAGAAAAAGGCAGUGUCACUCAGUAUUUUAAAGUGGGCUGUGGAGCGCUGGAAGCGUCAGCCAUGUACUCUAGGAUCCAAUCCCCCAGUGGAAACCCAGGGACCAGGAGAGGGUUAUGCUGUUCUCUGAAGCCCUGGUUCUGUGGUCAGGACGAUGGGAUCGAGACAUCAGAAGCCAAAGGUUUGGUGUCGGCUGUGUUAUUGACCAGAGGAUCUUGGUCAAGUUCUUGACCCACAGGUACCACAGAUCUCUCUCAUCUUGAUCUCGCAGGGUCACAUUUUUCAGAGGGAUCGUAGCCCAUCGACGUCAGAAUCAUGUGGGGGUCCUGCUGUCAUAAUGGAAUGUGUGACCCCAGGCAGAUUACUUAAUUUCUCUAAGUUUCAGUUUUUUAAUCUGUGAAAUGGGAUAGGGACGCCCAUUUCAGGGUAUUGUUAGCCUGAAAUACAACAUGUGAAAUGCUCAUGUUUCUUGGAGCAAGGUAAGAGUAGCUCUUUUUUUCCUGUUUUGCAAAGACCAUGUAAUGCAGGCUAGAUCAGUUUACUGAAAGCGGAGGCAGGAUCUGAUACAGCUCCCCUUAUCCAGCCGGUAAACAGAACUUGCGAGAUACUCUGUUUCUUUUCUAUAUAAUUUUCUCAUUAAUAACAUCGAGGUCCUCUCAGCUACCUUGGCAGAAGACCUUGCACAGAAGGUUUAUAGAAGAUGUGAAUAGCUUGUCCAAUUGAACUCACAACUGCAGAGCCAGUAACGGCAGGUAUGAUAUCAGGGGAAGGUAUUAUCAUGCCACCUGCUCUGGUCAUCUGGAGGUUCCCCAGACGCUGUGAGCACGCACGGGCUUGAGGGAUGUUGGAACUACUUCUCCCCCUCUGUUGCUAGUCUGUUGCCACCAUUAACCUUUGGUAAAUCCCCAGUGGAGAUGAUCCAUAAGGCCUGUGAGCUUUUAUCAGCCUCUAGAUUUUUGUGCUUUACCCUGGCAAGUAGGUUAUUUAGGCUGCUCAGAGGAUACUGCAGAAGCAGUACCCCCACCCCACCCCCUUUUUUGGAAAGGAAGUCAGUCAACAUGGAAGGCUCCAUCUCAUUAAUCCUGACCUUUGCAGUGGAAAAGCAGGUUUUACUUACCGUUCUAUAAUUAAACUAAGGCAAACACUGCUUCCUCUGUACCAGGCACUAUCCGACACAUAUUACACGUGUGUUCUCAUUUAACACCCCCUUAUCAGCCUUAAAGAUGCUCCUGUUCCCUUUUGUGAUUUGGGAGCACCUCUUGGACAGGCCAAUAGAUCAAGGCUUUUUUAAACCAAAAUGAUUCCAUUCCCGAGCCCGUUCUCCCUCCUGACCACACUGCCACUCCCAGGAAGACCCUUCCUCAUUUCAGAUGGGCCUGAUCCUUCCGCUCGGAAACCCAGACACAGGGGCUUGCAGGAUGCUCUUUCCUGCCUCGGAGCUAAGACUGCCGAAGGGGUCGGUGUCUGCUCACCCGCCCGCCCGCCCCCACCCGCGCCUGGAUGUGCCCGGCUCUGUGUGUUCAGAUCGUGCCCUGCAGCCCCGUGAGGGCUGUUUGGGAGGCUGGUGCGGAAAAGCCCAGGCGAGACGCAUCUUAAUGGUCUCUUGCACUUCAUUAUGAAGAAUUAUUAGGAGCUGCAGCAGCAGUCGCAAAAAAAAAAAAAAAAAAAAAAAAAGAAGUUCUGCUUUUCUUUUUCAAGGACAGGCAGCUGAGCAAGGAAAGUAAAGGAAAGAGUGGAAGGCAGGAGAAAGCAGCUCAGAGCUCAGCUGCUGCAGAGAAACAUCUGAGACGCUGCUCUGCGCUGACAUGGCGGCCGGCACCAGUUGGUGGCGAACAGAUGGCCUCGGAAUUGGUACAAGGGCAGCCUUCUUCAUUAGACUUGAUUAGUGACAUUAUCUCCUCAUUUUAAAGAAUGGCCUAAAUGAAAUCUUCAAAGAUCCUAGGAGGUUCUCUAGAGCUGAAGAUACUGCCAUUGAUCAAAUUGUGACAGUAUUUAUGAAAUUAAACCAUACCACACAGAGUCCGUUACUUUUCCAAAGAGAGAAAUGUUGGUGAAAUUAUUUACUUGAAGUCACUUUGACCAGUCAUCCAUUUAUAUGAGUAAAGCCAUGGGUACACAUGAGACAGUGAUGACUACUGGCAAACAGUGUAUGUAAUGUCAAGUUCACACAUGACUGGCAUGGGGAAUACUGGAAGAGCCUGGUUAUAAGAUCUGGGGCUUCAACCUCAACCCACUUAAUCAGACUCUCAGAAGAAAGGAUACAGGGAUAUGCAUUUUAGAUAGAUGCUACGAAAGGCCAAAGCAGGAAGGAAAUUUACUUUAGUUGAAUUCUGGCUCUGUCACCUUGCCAGUGCAGAGAGAAGACCACCUGACGAUUUGAUGAUCAAGAACGCCAUAUUGUCUCACUCAGUUUGCACGUCCUGACUCCUGGCUUCGUCUGUCAAAACAUAAGCUUUUAAUUUUCAAGAUUACUUUUCACUCCUAUCCCUGCUGCGGACUCAACCCAGGUGUAGCAGUUGUAGAAGAAAGGGCUUGAUCCACAUUCUCAGGACAAGAAGACUUGAUACUGAAGUUACCAACACGAGGUUCUUCUGGGUGCUAUGACCCUUGUCUCCCUAAAUGUGAAAUUCUAGAAGCACAGACCAAAGGACGGGCAGCACCCGAGCCACUUCUAAUGCGAUCUCACCCUGAAUACUGAGCCCCCUCUGAGCAGCCUGUCUUGCGGUGCUCUAGUUUGACGGGUGAGAUUAAGGGUUCUGGCUUGCCAUGUUUCAGCCGGCUAAAGCAUCCUCAGACAUAGAAUCCUUCAGGGAAGGACGUUUUAUAUGAUCCUUUUGCCACAUUUGUGGUGAUUUGUUGUUUUACAACUGCAAUGCAGGAAUGAGAAGGUAUAAUUAGCCCGCUGGGUCCAUUUGUAGACCCCAGCGGGGAUCUCUGCGGUUCGGGACGAGAGCAAGUCUCACUUCUUGUCUCAACCCACGAUUUUUUAUAAUGAUAACCUAAUAAGAGUUUACAAUUUAUGGAGGACCAUGUCAAAAAGCCCCCUGGGCUCCAGAGGGCAGGGGAGAGGAGAAAGAAAACAAAUACGAAACGUAAUACUCUGACUGUAAAUGAUAGAACCAAAGUAAGCUGACUUCUCUUUAGCACAAAAUACAGGAUUUAUAUGUGCUGAGCUAAACAAAGGUUGUCAAAUAUGAUCACCAAUAGAUUUGGCAUUUCUGGGUCAUGUGCCAGGAAAGGUGGCCAAAGAACGUAAGGCGUUUUAUGGAUUUAAAUCCCUUUUCUGGAAUGAAGCAGAAUAUGAACUAAUAAUACAUAGUUUAUGUUUCAUUCUUGGGAAGAGGCAGGAUGUGAGGCCUGUGUGCUGAGGAACGCUGACGGCGUUCCAGCUGGCUUUGUGCAGAAAUGCCAAGUACCACAGUUUCAUGCUAUAAUAUGCACUAUCCCCAACAGAUAUUAAAAUGCUUUUACAGUCACAUGUAAGACUUGCUUUUUAUUUGCCUUCUUUUCUCAAAAUACCAUUGGGCCUUAAAUUUGUUGUUCAUGCAGUGCCAUGACAUGGCAAUUAAGUUCUGCUUUUUUAUACUACACAUUUUUUUUUCAUUUGAAUUUAGUAAUAAUGGGUCAGUCUGUGUGUAGGGAGAACAUGUACAUGGCCUCUGUUCAAGGUCCUGGGCUCUACUCGCUCCCUAAGGGGUCCAGGGGCCAAUGACUAGUAUCUACAGGGUGACAUGCUGAGGCCAGGGAUUAGAGUAAGAAGCUGAACUCAUUGGAUUUCCCUCCUGAGUACUGCGUUAUGAUUACCUGACUCCCUGGACCAAGGAUAUUUAGGCUCAAGGUGUUAACCCAAGAGUCAUAGUGCUAAUUCAAAAUACUAUUGUGUGGUAUUUUCCCCCAGUGAUUUGGAAUAUAUGAGCCAAGAUUACCUUUGUGGGGAGGCUAGUGGGAUUGUUCUAAAGGCUGGCUGCCCAGUUCCAUAUAUGGACAAAGGGAUAAAGCUGAAAACCUCUCUCACUCAGAGUUUGCAAAUGUCUGUAGAGAUUGUGUGGUGCACAAAACAAAAAUUAUUUUAAAAUCUUACAGAACCUGAGGUAAAUGACUACCUUUUGUAUUACUAAAAUGCAAUUACUAUCAUGUAGAGAACCCGUGACCUUUUUAUAUUAAAAUUGGUCCCUGAGAAAUGUUGAAAAAAGGCAACUCUGUGGGUCAAGAAGUUACAUUAGUGGUUGCCUGGGGCAGGUGGCAGAAGUGGGGAUUCCCUGUCAGGAGGCGAGAGGGAUCUGAUUAGGGUGAGGAAAUGUGCUAAAACUGGAUUAGGGUAGUGGUUGCAGGGUAUUAGAGAUCUGCUAAGAAAAUCACUGAACUGUAUCCCUCGAUGAGUGACAUCUCUGGUAUAUAUAUAUAUUAUGUCUCAAUAAAGUUGUUAAAA